GGGGGGGUGCUGCUUUGGAGAAGCCACAUCUCUAGCUCCGGGGACAGUGAGGGGCGGUGGUCCGGGCUCAGGAAGUGGUUUUUGAAUUACUGAAUCUCUGCCUCGAGGGAUCGUCUCAUUCGGUCUGAUUUUUCAUGCAGCGUUUACGACAUCACUUCACUCUGGGUAGAAACGCUGACAAACUGGCAACAACAGAUGAGGUUGAACUCGCGUGAAGGCAGGUGUCCUGGUCCCGGGCGAGGCUGAGCAAGUCCAGCUAGGGGGACGCGGGACGUGUGCACACUGCCCGGGGGGGGGGGGGCACACCUGCACCUGCUGUGGGCCUUGGACUCUGGAAAUCCGCCUUUGCAAACAAAGUGUGCUCCUUGUACCUAGGAGGUCACAGGCCAGAUGAAAUGUCGGAGUCUGCCGGGGCCGAGCCUUGGCAAGCCAAGAGCCAGGCCUAAGGCUCCUUUACGAAACGUGGCCUCAGCCUCUUGGUCUCAGCCUGGGUCGGUGUCCCUUAGGACAAGGGACCAGCUGAGUCUGAGAACAAAUGCACAGUAUGCCACAUGAAAGGUAUCUGCAGGACCACUGCAAGUCCUUGGGUGACACUCGGGGACAGCAGACACAGAGCCACUACUGUUGGGAGGUGAGUCCCCAUGGGUCUUGUGUCCCUGUGCGUGUGUGAGCCGUCACUGGACGGUUUUCUCAAGGACGCUUGCCUGGAGGACAGCGCCAGGGGCCCCCCAGGGGCCAAGGGUGGCCAGCCCUUAUCGACUGGGGUCUCU
Molecule: long non-coding RNA, 770 nt
Organism: Herpailurus yagouaroundi (jaguarundi)
Lineage: Eukaryota; Metazoa; Chordata; Mammalia; Carnivora; Felidae
Exons: 3
Source: RefSeq, a predicted model, not a curated record